CGAACGGGUGAGUAACACGUGAGUAACCUGCCCUUGACUCUGGGAUAAGCGUUGGAAACGACGUCUAAUACCGGAUACGACCCGUGGAGGCAUCUCCUACGGGUGGAAAGAAUUUUGGUUGAGGAUGGACUCGCGGCCUAUCAGCUUGUUGGUGAGGUAAUGGCUCACCAAGGCGACGACGGGUAGCCGGCCUGAGAGGGUGACCGGCCACACUGGGACUGAGACACGGCCCAG
RNAcentral lists this ribosomal RNA (234 nucleotides) under uncultured bacterium. RNAcentral describes it as "partial 16S ribosomal RNA". It matches the Rfam family "Bacterial small subunit ribosomal RNA", at positions 99 to 334 of the family's 1533-position model. The record is from RNAcentral.